Molecule: ribosomal RNA, 549 nt
Filed under: Kocuria palustris
Lineage: Bacteria; Bacillati; Actinomycetota; Actinomycetes; Micrococcales; Micrococcaceae
Description: bacterial SSU rRNA
Rfam family: Bacterial small subunit ribosomal RNA
Source: RNAcentral
GGAUCUAAUACUGGAUGCUACAUGUCACCGCAUGGUGUUGUGUGGAAAGGGUUUACUGGUCUUGGAUGGGCUCACGGCCUAUCAGCUUGUUGGUGAGGUAAUGGCUCACCAAGGCGACGACGGGUAGCCGGCCUGAUAGGGUGACCGGCCACACUGGGACUGAGACACGGCCCAGACUCCUACGGGAGGCAGCAGUGGGGAAUAUUGCACAAUGGGCGAAAGCCUGAUGCAGCGACGCCGCGUGAGGGAUGACGGCCUUCGGGUUGUAAACCUCUUUCUUCAGGUAAGAAGCCACAAGUGACGGUACCUGCAGAAGAUGCGCCGGCUAACUACGUGCCAGCAGCCGCGGUAAUACGUAGGGCGCAAGCGUUGUCCGGAAUUAUUGGGCCUAAAGAGCUCGUAGGCUGUUUGUCGCGUCUGCUGUGUAAGCCCGGGGCUUAACCCCGGGUGUGCAGAGCGUACGGGCAGACUAUACUGCAAAAGAAUACUGGAAUUCGUGGUGCAGCGGAAGAAAUGUGAUUAUAUCGGGAAGAACGUCAAUGAAGUAUA